This is a long non-coding RNA of Paramisgurnus dabryanus, 1522 nucleotides long. RefSeq lists it as uncharacterized. The record is from RefSeq and is a predicted model, not a curated record. Lineage: Eukaryota; Metazoa; Chordata; Actinopteri; Cypriniformes; Cobitidae.
GCAGCAUCAGCGAGCUCUGUGAUUGGUGGAGAGACGAGGAUCAUGUGUUGUUGUUGCUCGCUGACAGAAGUGCUGAGUUGACUCUCAUGUUAAAGCGCUCGCUGGAGUUGAUGCACUUUCUAUUGUCCCACACAGUUGUUUUUUUUCCAUCCUGGUUGAACUUUCUAGCGGGACACUUGGUCCGUUAGCAUCAUAUAUGCGACUCAGGAGGGCGCAGGGGGCAAAGCCUAACAAAUGUGUGGAGUCAACUGGUUUCCCAAGGGGACGUUACUGAGAAGCUGGCUCACAAAGUCCCGACCGAGACUACUGCUCCUCAUUGCUGGUCUGAAGAGACCUCAGGUCACCCUCAUGAGGAGAAAACGGAUGAAACGUACAAAAGUAGCCAAGGCCACGUAAGCGAAGCUGUCAUCACAUGCCACAUUUCAGCUGAAUCUCUGACGAACAGAGAAACCUCAUCUGUUACCUACAUGGACCCAGAAACAGAGGAACCACGUUAUCGAACUAAACUCCAAUGCAAACCCAGAACGGUUUCAGAAUUAGUUGUAAAAAUGAGAGAUUUUCCUAAAAGAUCCCGGGCUCCUGACUGACAUCUCUUCAUCUUUAAUGCAGUACAGUGUGUGUGGCUGUACAUUGGGUUGACAUUGUUUUCUUCUGUGUUAUCUGCUCAAGAUUUCAGCGAUUUUUAGUUUUGAUUCUAAAUGAGGUGUGAGUGAAUUAAACACUCGGAAAACGGCUGGGUUAUUUUUACCCAUGUUGUUGGGUAAAUAUUGGACUGAACGCAUGCUGGGUUAAAAAUGACUUAAUGUUGUAUGGGGCCAUUUUAACCCAGCAGUGUUUUCGGUCCAAUAUGGGUCAAAAAAUAACCUAGACGUUUAUAGAGUGAAUGAAAAGAAAAACAGAGAUCAUGUAUAGAUGUUAUGAGCUGGUAACUAUCACACACCAGUGGCUUUUUUAUCCUGCAAAGACAAAGAGAUUCAAACAAAACCUGUGAACCUCCUGAUUAGUAAAACAUUACCAUAAAGACCAAAAAUACCAAACACAAUAAGAAUCUUUAUCUAUACACAGUACUGUGCAAAUGUCUUUUUGUUUUAGAAGUUUUAAUGUCCAUCCAUAUUUAUUUUUCAAUCUAUUUUAUUAAGAUACAAACAGAAAAUACAGGAAAUAUGUACAAAAAAUAAAAAAAAUUAAUUUUCAGGCAUCGUCUGUGUUUAGUGUGACCUCUCUUGGUGUUUUUGAGCAGAAUGAAGUAAAAGACUAAUUUCUUUAAAAUUAGAAAUUAGGAUUUAAUUUUAUUCAGGUUUAAGAGAUCCUGCAGUUUCCUGCUAUUGCUCAAGUGGAAGGGGAGUUUACCCUAAAAACCUGCCACAUCAGUUUACAUUUUAUACAGUUUUUAAUACUACAUACACGUUUUCUGUAUUUUCUGGAUGUAUUUUAUUAAAGAGACUGAGAAACAAUUAUAUAUGAUCACUAUAACAUUGCAAAAACAACUAAUCUAAUUCUGGCAUGGUGGCCUAAAACUUUU